Molecule: ribosomal RNA, 157 nt
Filed under: Pseudomonas fluorescens
Lineage: Bacteria; Pseudomonadati; Pseudomonadota; Gammaproteobacteria; Pseudomonadales; Pseudomonadaceae
Description: partial 23S ribosomal RNA
Rfam family: Bacterial large subunit ribosomal RNA
Source: RNAcentral
GGUCAAGUGAAGAAGCGCAUACGGUGGAUGCCUUGGCAGUCAGAGGCGAUGAAAGACGUGGUAGCCUGCGAAAAGCUUCGGGGAGUCGGCAAACAGACUUUGAUCCGGAGAUGUCUGAAUGGGGGAACCCAGCCAUCAUAAGAUGGUUAUCUUACGC